GCGCUUGGUCUCGCCGAUAUAGGGAUCAAUCAAUCCAUGGUCAUUGAUGUAUCCUUUGCUACAGAUUGGCUGGUGCACCCGAAAUACCGGUGGAACGAGGCCAGUUAUCAGUCGGGAGACGUGAGUUAUUCUAUCUACGUAUCUCUCAAUACAUUUAGUAACUCUUGCUGAUUCAUCUUCCUAUGUCAGAGAGGAGUGCAGAAUAAUCUACCUUCUCAUAAUAUAACAACAUCUCUGAGGGAAGCUUACACAAAUCCGCAGGAUGUCCCCUGGGUUGGUGUUUUAUUGCAUUAGAAUCGAGCUCCUUGUAACGAGAGCCUCCUUAGGUCAGAUAGCUUCCCUUUCUAUUGCUCUGUGUAUUGCAUUGGAAAGUGAUCCUCCCUUUGUACAUUACUGCUCAAACAAAACAACAUGGGAUGAUUGCAGAACUGGCAUAAGUCACUGAAGAACUAUCUCCAGUAAAAUUGUCAUACACUGAAGGAGCUACAUUUGAUAACCCAGCACAUUAUCUUAUAGAUCGGAACAAAACUUAUUUGACUUGCAGCAGAGGAGAAUGGCAAUAAUAAGUAAACAAAUAAAUACAUGUCAGAUGUGAGGAAGGAGAUCGAGAAUGGGAUUUAUAAAAUGUGAAAUUGUCAUGAAUUGGCGAAGAGGAGGAGAGGUAAGUGGGAUUCCCGCAAACGGUGCCACAUGGCUAAGAGUGAAAUUAGGAAUGAUCUGGUAGACUCAAACUCAUUCAAUCAUGCUGAGAGGCAAUUAAAGAAAAAGAAUAGCAAAUUAAGAUUGUUCUCGCUAAACCUUUCCUCGCUUAAAAGAGUAAUAGUGGCAAAGAUGCUGGAUUCGUUUAAUAGUCAGAUUAAUUCUGUGGAUGAGGUGGGAGCUGUAAAGCCUGCCUAGAUGGAUGAGCUCCAAUGGGUUGAAUGGGUUCUUCAUCUAUAUCUAUCUUGUUAUCGCCAUGUCCUUAAUCAGUUGUGAUAGAGCUAAUUAUUCAGAUGUCUUUCUAGACAGCUCACGUAGCUCAUCUCAAUAUC
This is a long non-coding RNA of Amblyraja radiata (thorny skate), 1031 nucleotides long. RefSeq lists it as uncharacterized. The transcript is spliced from 3 exons. The record is from RefSeq and is a predicted model, not a curated record. NCBI's taxonomy places the organism in Eukaryota, Metazoa, Chordata, Chondrichthyes, Rajiformes, Rajidae.